UACGUAGGGUGCAAGCGUUGUCCGGAAUUAUUGGGCGUAAAGAGCUUGUAGGCGGUUUGUCGCGUCUGCUGUGAAAUUUCGGGGCUCAACCCCGAACUUGCAGUGGGUACGGGCAGACUAGAGUGUGGUAGGGGAGACUGGAAUUCCUGGUGUAGCGGUGAAAUGCGCAGAUAUCAGGAGGAACACCGGUGGCGAAGGCGGGUCUCUGGGUCGAUACUGACGCUGAGGAGCGAAAGCGUGGGGAGCGAACAGG
RNAcentral lists this ribosomal RNA (253 nucleotides) under uncultured bacterium. Its description in RNAcentral is "partial 16S ribosomal RNA". It matches the Rfam family "Bacterial small subunit ribosomal RNA", at positions 524 to 776 of the family's 1533-position model. The record is from RNAcentral.